This 482-nucleotide ribosomal RNA is filed under the name uncultured bacterium. Its description in RNAcentral is "partial 16S ribosomal RNA". It matches the Rfam family "Bacterial small subunit ribosomal RNA", at positions 30 to 507 of the family's 1533-position model. The record is from RNAcentral.
AUUGAACGCUGGCGGCAUGCCUUACACAUGCAAGUCGAACGGUAACGAGCCUUCGGGUGCCGACGAGUGGCGAACGGGUGAGUAAUACAUCGGAACGUGCCCGAUCGUGGGGGAUAACGAGGCGAAAGCUUUGCUAAUACCGCAUACGAUCUACGGAUGAAAGCAGGGGACCGCAAGGCCUUGCGCGGACGGAGCGGCCGAUGGCCGAUUAGGUAGUUGGUGGGAUAAAAGCUUACCAAGCCGACGAUCUGUAGCUGGUCUGAGAGGAUGAUCAGCCACACUGGGACUGAGACACGGCCCAGACUCCUACGGGAGGCAGCAGUGGGGAAUUUUGGACAAUGGGCGCAAGCCUGAUCCAGCCAUGCCGCGUGCAGGAUGAAGGCCUUCGGGUUGUAAACUGCUUUUGUACGGAACGAAAAGCCUUCUUUUAAUACAGGAGGGUCAUGACGGUACCGUAAGAAUAAGCACCGGCUAACUACGUG